GCAAGGGUGCGUAACACAGUGAGGUAAUCUGCCAUGAAGUUUGGAAUAACUUGCUAGUAAGAAGGACCGAGCUAAUGCCGGAUGUGACCCGUUGGGUAGGCCUCUCCCGAUAGUUAAAGCUGGGGACCGCAAGGCCUGGUCGCUUCAUGUAUGAACCCGCGGUCUAUCAGCUAGUUGGUGAAGGUAACGGCCCACCAAGGCUAAGACGGGUAGCUGGUCUGAGAGGACGACCAGCCACACUGGAACUGAGACACGGUCCAGACACCAUACGGGUGGCAGCAGUCGAGAAUUUUUCACAAUGGGCGCAAGCCUGAUGGAGCGACGCCGCGUGGGGGAUGAAUGGCUUCGGCCCGUAAACCCCUGUCAUUCGCGAUCAACCCUUAUUAUUUAAAAGAUGAUAAGCUGAUAGUAGCGGAAGAGGAAGGGACGGCUAACUCUGUGCCAGCAGCCGCGG
RNAcentral lists this ribosomal RNA (454 nucleotides) under uncultured bacterium. Its description in RNAcentral is "bacterial SSU rRNA". It matches the Rfam family "Bacterial small subunit ribosomal RNA", at positions 100 to 520 of the family's 1533-position model. The record is from RNAcentral.